GACGAACGCUGGCGGCGCGCCUAACACAUGCAAGUCGAACGAGCGAGAGAGAGCUUGCUUUCUCAAGCGAGUGGCGAACGGGUGAGUAACGCGUGAGGAACCUGCCUCAAAGAGGGGGACAACAGUUGGAAACGACUGCUAAUACCGCAUAAGCCCACGGCUCGGCAUCGAGCAGAGGGAAAAGGAGCAAUCCGCUUUGAGAUGGCCUCGCGUCCGAUUAGCUAGUUGGUGAGGUAACGGCCCACCAAGG
RNAcentral lists this ribosomal RNA (250 nucleotides) under uncultured bacterium. RNAcentral's name for it is "partial 16S ribosomal RNA". It matches the Rfam family "Bacterial small subunit ribosomal RNA", at positions 28 to 273 of the family's 1533-position model. The record is from RNAcentral.